UCAAAAAGACAAAACAGAAGACAAAAAUAACACAAAGUUAUUUUAAAAAUACAGAGAAGAAAUAAAAUAGCGAAAACAUGAGGUGAUGCAGAACUUUUAUCUAUCAUUAAAAAUAAUGCAAUAAAAUGAAACCAUUCCCCUUAUCAGAUUAGGAGAUGUAAAUCCUGAUAACAUCCAAUGUGGGUAAAGGUGUAGGGGAUCAGGUGCUUUCACACACUGCUGCUGGAAAUGUACAGUCUUUUUUGGAAAGUGUCAAAUUUUCAAAAUGUAUCUAUCCUUAAACUUAGCAAUCGGCAGGGCACGGUGGCUCACGCCUGUAAUCGCAGCACUUUGGGAGACCAAAGCAGAUGAAUCACCUGAGGUCAAGAGUUCAAGACCAGCCUGGCCAACACGAAAGAAGCUCUCACAGUGGAAGACUAUAAUAUGACAUAAGAAGAAAUGUGGACUUGGAGAUACAGAAGCUCCACACUGAAGAGAAAAACCAACAUCCUACAAUGAUGGGGUUUUUUUUAAAGACACCCAAGAAGCCACCUGAAGAAUCAGAACAGGGAUGGAACUCAUCCAAACUCCACUUCCCCGAGAAAAUCAUCACAAUUUGACUUAUCUGGCAUUUCCCUGGAAAAACUCACACAAAGGGUACUCUUUUUGUGUGUAUGUAUGUUUUGUUUUGUUUUGUUUUGAGACAAGAUCUCGUUCUGUCACCCAUGCUGGA
RNAcentral lists this long non-coding RNA (712 nucleotides) under Homo sapiens (human). RNAcentral's name for it is "HSALNT0382148". The record is from RNAcentral. Lineage: Eukaryota; Metazoa; Chordata; Mammalia; Primates; Hominidae.